AAAAAGCAGAGACCCCCCCUCGUACCUUUUGCAUCAUGAUUUAGCAAGUAAUAACCAAGCAAAAAGUAUUUUAGUUUGGCCCCCCGAAACCAAGUGAGCUACUCCAAGACAACCUACAAUUAGGGUAAACCCGUCUCUGUGGCAAAAGAGUGGGAAGAGCUUUGAGUAGAGGUGACAGACCUAUCGAACUUGGUAAUAGCUGGUUGCUUGAGAAACGAAUAGAAGUUCCGCUUCUUAUAUUCUUACCCCGCCCUGGCCACAAAGGCCCCCACAGAAAAAAGAAAAUAAGAAAGUUAGUCAAAGGAGGUACAGCUCCUGUGAAGCAAGACACAACUUUUCCAGAAGGGUAAAGAUCACAAUAAUCUUAAGGUACCUAUGUUUUGGUGGGCCUAAAAGCAGCCAUCCCAUUAGAAAGCGUUAAAGCUCUAGCAUAGCCCCUCCUCUAAUACCGAUAAUAAAUCUUAACCCCCUAGUUAUAUUAAGCCGCCCCAUAAAAUACAUGGGAGUGAUCAUGCUAAAAUGAGUAAUCAGAGAACAACACUUCUCUCCGUGCACACGUGUAAAUCGGAACGGACCCCCCACCGAAACUUAACGACCCCAAAUAAAGAGGGCCCUGAGUGGUAAACAAUAAACUAGAAAACCGCCCAAAACUUUACCGUUGACCCCACACUGGUGUGCUUCCAAGGAAAGACCAAAAGGAAAAGAAGGAACUCGGCAAACACACCCAAGCCUCGCCUGUUUACCAAAAACAUCGCCUCUUGUUAAUAACAUAUAAGAGGUCCCGCCUGCCCUGUGACCCCUGGUUCAACGGCCGCGGUAUUUUGACCGUGCAAAGGUAGCGCAAUCACUUGUCCCUUAAAUGAGGACCCGUAUGAAUGGCAUAACGAGGGCUUAACUGUCUCCUUUCCCCGGUCAAUGAAAUUGAUCUUCCCGUGCAGAAGCGGGAAUACUUACAUAAGACGAGAAGACCCUAUGGAGCUUUAGACACCAGAACAGACCAUGUCAAUUACCCCCUUAAGCAAGUAAUAAUUAUUGAACCCCUGUUCCCCUGUCUUUGGUUGGGGCGACCACGGGGAAGAAAAAAACCCCCACGUGGACUGGGAGCACGUUCCUCCUACAACCACGAGCUACCGCUCUAAUAACGCAGAAUUUCUGACCAAUAAGAUCCGGCAAAGCCGAUCAACGGACCCAGUUACCCUAGGGAUAACAGCGCAAUCCCCUUCAAGAGUCCAUAUCGACAAGGGGGUUUACGACCUCGAUGUUGGAUCAAGACAUCCUAAUGGUGCAGCCGCUAUUAAGGGUUCGUUUGUUCAACGAUUAAAGUCUU
Molecule: ribosomal RNA, 1327 nt
Filed under: Cestraeus goldiei (Goldie River mullet)
Lineage: Eukaryota; Metazoa; Chordata; Actinopteri; Mugiliformes; Mugilidae
Description: partial 16S ribosomal RNA
Rfam family: Bacterial large subunit ribosomal RNA
Source: RNAcentral